CGGGACGGGUGAGUAAUGUCUGGGAAACUGCCUGAUGGAGGGGGAUAACUACUGGAAACGGUAGCUAAUACCGCAUAACGUCGCAAGACCAAAGAGGGGGACCUCGGGCCUCUUGCCAUCGGAUGCGCCCAGAUGGGAUUAGCUAGUAGGUGGGGUAACGGCUCACCUAGGCGACGAUCCCUAGCUGGUCUGAGAGGAUGACCAGCCACACUGGAACUGAGACACGGUCCAG
Molecule: ribosomal RNA, 232 nt
Filed under: uncultured bacterium
Lineage: Bacteria
Description: partial 16S ribosomal RNA
Rfam family: Bacterial small subunit ribosomal RNA
Source: RNAcentral